Non-coding RNA from Lactuca sativa (garden lettuce), 1218 nucleotides. Lineage: Eukaryota; Viridiplantae; Streptophyta; Magnoliopsida; Asterales; Asteraceae. The record is from RefSeq and is a predicted model, not a curated record.
UUUAAUUUACUUUUUGCCAUUAUCUAUCUCGGUGUUUCCUCCACCGCUUCGAUCUCCCUGUUCUUCUUCUCAUAGCUUUGUUCUUAUUUUCUUCCACCGACUCCGGUUCUACCUCACCAAAAUACGCCCUCUUCCUUUCUAUUUUUCGGUUUUUGGUGGUGUCACUAUCGGAAUAAUUAUAGUCCAUCGCUCCCCUUUGUUCUUCUCCUCUCUCGAUUACCUUUACAUCCCAUGAAGGUAUCCGCUCUGUGGUGGUGUUGUCUCGAUUGCGACCGCCUUUUUCAUCGAAUCACAGAGAACGAAAACGUCACCGCUGACGACACCUCGACCUACUUCUCCUGGUCUCCGAAUCAUCUGUAAAUGGGAGAAACGCUACAAGCAACAACCGUUUAUUAGCCGUCGAUCAUUAUCUCGACGUCGUAUCCACCAGUAAUGCUAAUAAAAUUAGGUAAAUUGAUUGUUCGAUUUUUUUGUUCAAUGUGGUGUAUUGCGUUUUUGCUAGGAUUGAGGUUUUAACUUGUUGGAUUGGGAGGAAUUUGAUCCGAGUUGGGUUUUUGGAUACUUUUUUCUGAUUGCAUAAACAUUGGUUGAUAUGAAAAGGGCAUGAUUGAGUAAAGAAUUACUGUUUGGAUGCGUACAAAGAUCUCAAAGAUCAAAAGAAAGUCAGGUUAGAGUGUUAGACCAUGUCCCUGGAGAUUUCAAGGUGUUCCCCAUCCAAUGUUUUCACUUUUCAUGAUAAUUUUCCAUGUUCUAAAACAAGAUUACUGAUGUUAGGGUGCAAGUUGGAUUAGGGUGCUAUAGAUGGUUCAUAUAGAUUUAACAUUAUAUGUCUAUUUAGUCUACACUUACUUUUAUGUUGUUUGUAUUGCAAUAGUAACCCAGCUGGAUGACCUAUGGUGGAUCUGGGUCAUCAAGGUCAGUUUUAGAAGUGGUACAACGAAAUAAAGAAGAAGGAGGAGGCAGGUGGCGGCAGUGGUGGUGGGUCAGAUGUUCAGGCUGAGCAUUGUGUUAAGGUUAAAGGAAAAGGCUAUGGUGUUUCAACUAGGUGCCUCUCACUAAAUUCAUUACCAACAAUUGUGCUAAAAGAGUCACCCCUAAUUAGGAACAGGAAAUAUGUGAUUAUGUGUCGAGUGUAUAAUUUGCUAAAAUAUGGUAGAUUUUUCAUAAUAUUAUGUCUUAUUAAUAUGAAAAUUUUAAAAUAAAAUAUCGUUUUAGAAA